UACGGGGGGAGCAAGCGUUGUUCGGAUUUACUGGGCGUAAAGGGCGCGUAGGCGGCGUGACAAGUCACUUGUGAAAUCUCCGGGCUUAACUCGGAACGGUCAAGUGAUACUGUCGUGCUAGAGUACAGAAGGGGCAACUGGAAUUCUCGGUGUAGCGGUGAAAUGCGCAGAUAUCAGGAGGAACACCGGUGGCGAAGGCGGGUCUCUGGGCCGAAACUGACGCUGAGGAGCGAAAGCGUGGGGAGCAAACAGG
Molecule: ribosomal RNA, 253 nt
Filed under: uncultured bacterium
Lineage: Bacteria
Description: partial 16S ribosomal RNA
Rfam family: Bacterial small subunit ribosomal RNA
Source: RNAcentral